GCCUCGGUAGUGUACUGGAACAGCACAGUAGUCUGGAUAUCUGUAAGUGCGGGUUCGAGUCCCGCCUAAAGUU
RNAcentral lists this transfer RNA (73 nucleotides) under Dictyocaulus viviparus (bovine lungworm). It matches the Rfam family "tRNA". Rfam says of the family: Transfer RNA (tRNA) molecules are approximately 80 nucleotides in length. The record is from Rfam by way of RNAcentral. Lineage: Eukaryota; Metazoa; Nematoda; Chromadorea; Rhabditida; Metastrongylidae.